UACGUAGGGGGCAAGCGUUAUCCGGAUUUAUUGGGCGUAAAGAGCUCGUAGGCGGCCGUUCGCGUCGGAUGUGAAAGCUCAGGGCUCAACCCUGAGACGCCAUUCGAUACGGGACGGCUAGAGGUAGGUAGGGGAAAGUGGAAUUCCUGGUGUAGCGGUGAAAUGCGUAGAUAUCUGGAGGAACACCGGUGGCGAAGGCGGCAUCCUGGACCGACACUGACACUGAGGAGCGAAAGCCAGGGGAGCAAACGGG
RNAcentral lists this ribosomal RNA (253 nucleotides) under uncultured bacterium. Its description in RNAcentral is "partial 16S ribosomal RNA". It matches the Rfam family "Bacterial small subunit ribosomal RNA", at positions 524 to 776 of the family's 1533-position model. The record is from RNAcentral.